GACGAACGCUGGCGGCGUGCUUAACACAUGCAAGUCGAACGGAAAGGCCCUGCUUUUGUGGGGUGCUCGAGUGGCGAACGGGUGAGUUACACGUGAGUAACCUGUACUUGACUUUGGGAUAAGCUCAUGACACUGGGGCUCAUACCGGAUAGGAGCUCCUGCUGCUUGGUGGGGGUUGGAUAGUUUCGGCGGUUGGGGAUGGACUCGCGGCUUAUCGGCUUGUUGGUUGGGUAGUGGCUGACCAAGGCUUUGACGGGUAGCCGGCCUGGGAGGGUGACCGGCCACAUUGCGACGGAGAUGCGGCACAGACCAGCAUGGGAGGCAGAGGUGGAGUAUAUAGCACUAGGGGCGGAAGGCAGAUGCAGCAACGCCGCGCGGGGGGAGUCGGCCUUGGGGUAGUAAUCCGCAGUCGCCUGUCACGAAGCGAGAGUGACGGUAACGGGUAAAGAAGCACCGGCUAACUACGUG
This 468-nucleotide ribosomal RNA is filed under the name uncultured bacterium. Its description in RNAcentral is "partial 16S ribosomal RNA". It matches the Rfam family "Bacterial small subunit ribosomal RNA", at positions 28 to 507 of the family's 1533-position model. The record is from RNAcentral.